CCAUAUCCAGUACAUACAUUUAAACAAGCAGUGCAUAUUGACUGCCCUGUCUAAAGAAUUGUUUACCGUGGCAUUGCAGCCACUACCAUGUGUUGACAAUGAAGACGGUCACUUUGUGAACAGCAACGAUAAAAUAAGAAGGGCAGACCGAUUGGACCGAACAAAUAGAGUCAAAACCAAUUCCCAUAGUCUGAGUCUUCGCUGCGAUCGAAAAGCAGCCGACCAGCGGUGACGCAGUUAUUGCCGUCGAUGCAUCUUAAUCUGUACCGGCUGCCAUUUAAUCUCUUCCAUUGUAUUUAGUGAUCGCGAAGCAGUUAACCCUUCAAUCUAAGUUUUUCAAUUUCGGAGCAGUUACAUUGACCCAAUUUUAGUGGCUAAUAAGCAUGAUUAAAUAGUAUUGCUAACUUAUUCUACUUUACUACAUGAAGCGGAAUACUUGUACCCAUUCAAAUGGUCUUCUGGUCGUGAUGCACCAAAUGUCUGCAAACACGGACGGAUCUCGCAAAACUUGAGGUGCUCCUGGAAUUCCUUGUCCAUCUUAUCUUGUGUAUCCGUUUCCCAGGCCCAUGCCCAGACCUAGCCGCCUGUAAGUACGGACUUUACGACAACCUGGAAGGUUGCUCCCAGUGCAAAUCGUUAAGUUUUUUUUUUUGUGGCGUGCCAAUACAAUGCCACAACCAAACAACACAAGAAUUUAUAGCAUUUUAUUUUCAAAGACACAGAAAUUCUGUCCCUUGCCACCAAUAAUGGAAUGAACAAUAAAUUUAAACGCGCAGAUGUACAACGCUCCAUAUGUAAAGGUA
This is a long non-coding RNA of Drosophila willistoni, 803 nucleotides long. RefSeq lists it as uncharacterized. The transcript has 4 exons. The record is from RefSeq and is a predicted model, not a curated record. NCBI's taxonomy places the organism in Eukaryota, Metazoa, Arthropoda, Insecta, Diptera, Drosophilidae.